RNAcentral lists this ribosomal RNA (478 nucleotides) under uncultured bacterium. RNAcentral's name for it is "partial 16S ribosomal RNA". It matches the Rfam family "Bacterial small subunit ribosomal RNA", at positions 28 to 523 of the family's 1533-position model. The record is from RNAcentral.
GACGAACGCUGGCGGCAUGCCUAACACAUGCAAGUCGAGCGAGUUGAUCCCUUCGGGGUGAAGCUAGCGGCGGACGGGUGAGUAACACGUGGGCAACCUGCCUCAUAGAGGGGAAUAGCCUCCCGAAAGGGAGAUUAAUACCGCAUAAGAUUGUAGCUUCGCAUGAAGUAGCAGUUAAAGGAGCAAUCCGCUAUGAGAUGGGCCCGCGGCGCAUUAGCUAGUUGGUGAGGUAACGGCUCACCAAGGCGACGAUGCGUAGCCGACCUGAGAGGGUGAUCGGCCACAUUGGGACUGAGACACGGCCCAGACUCCUACGGGAGGCAGCAGUGGGGAAUAUUGCACAAUGGGGGAAACCCUGAUGCAGCAAUGCCGCGUGAGUGAUGACGGCCUUCGGGUUGUAAAGCUCUGUCUUCAGGGACGAUAAUGACGGUACCUGAGGAGGAAGCCACGGCUAACUACGUGCCAGCCGCCGCGGUAA